RNAcentral lists this ribosomal RNA (253 nucleotides) under uncultured bacterium. RNAcentral describes it as "partial 16S ribosomal RNA". It matches the Rfam family "Bacterial small subunit ribosomal RNA", at positions 524 to 776 of the family's 1533-position model. The record is from RNAcentral.
UACGUAGGGUGCAAGCGUUGUCCGGAAUUAUUGGGCGUAAAGAGCUCGUAGGCGGCGGGUCACGUCGGGUGUGAAAGCCCGGGGCUUAACCCCGGGUCUGCAUUCGAUACGGGUCUGCUGGGGUCCGGCAGGGGAGACUGGAAUUCCUGGUGUAGCGGUGAAAUGCGCAGAUAUCAGGAGGAACACCGGUGGCGAAGGCGGGUCUCUGGGCCGGUACCGACGCUGAGGAGCGAAAGCGUGGGGAGCGAACAGG